AGAGAAGAAGAGAAAUGCCAAGAAGUUGGAGAAGGAAAGCUGCUGUCGAGGAUCAAAAGAUGCAAGGAGGUGACUGAGAUGUAAUCUUAGAGGAAAUCAACAGGCCCAAGAAACUUCAAAAGAACAAAAACCUGGAGUUGAGCAAGUGGAUCCUCAUCGGGUCCCCUGUCACACGUCGUCAGGAAGA
Long non-coding RNA from Diceros bicornis minor, 187 nucleotides. RefSeq lists it as uncharacterized. The transcript has 3 exons. The record is from RefSeq and is a predicted model, not a curated record. Lineage: Eukaryota; Metazoa; Chordata; Mammalia; Perissodactyla; Rhinocerotidae.